GUGCAAUGAUGAUGCAUCUAUAAAUCUGUCAAUCCACUGAUCUCCUGUGAAGUGAACAAGCGGUACUGAGCAC
Amblyraja radiata (thorny skate) is the source of this 73-nucleotide small nucleolar RNA. RefSeq annotates it as small nucleolar RNA snoR14. The transcript has a single exon. The record is from RefSeq and is a predicted model, not a curated record. Lineage: Eukaryota; Metazoa; Chordata; Chondrichthyes; Rajiformes; Rajidae.